Non-coding RNA from Aedes aegypti (yellow fever mosquito), 47 nucleotides. NCBI's taxonomy places the organism in Eukaryota, Metazoa, Arthropoda, Insecta, Diptera, Culicidae. The record is from Rfam.
GGAAUGGCUCUUUUAAGAGCCAUCGUAGAAUUUAUAUUUUAAGAAUU